Molecule: long non-coding RNA, 3969 nt
Filed under: Cicer arietinum (chickpea)
Lineage: Eukaryota; Viridiplantae; Streptophyta; Magnoliopsida; Fabales; Fabaceae
Description: long non-coding RNA (CARI_LNC003520)
Source: RNAcentral
UCUUUGUACAAUUUGAAGUAUAUAUAUUUCUUGUUAGGUGCUCCUGGCGAUGCUGAUUUUUUUUCUUUCAUUCACUGCAUAUAUUUAAAGGUAUGAAGAUAAGAGAUGGGUUGCAAAGGACAGUAAGCCCAGAUCACCUUCUAGACUGCUAGAAGAGAAAACUGCUUCACAAUGGCAAAAGCCUGUGGAAAGAGCUGGGCAUAAUUAUGUUGCUGAGAAUACUUUUAACGAAAGGAAGAAAUACCAACCAUCAAAUGCAAUUCCUGCUAUUAGAAUUAGUGUUCCUGCUCCUCCUAAAGGACCUGAGCAGGUCUCUCUAUCCCUAUAUCUCUGUUGAUUUUACAUAUUCUUGUGCUGCUGUGUAUGUCAUUGUGUAGUUGUACAGUCAGAGUCGAGUCACUAGUAUCUUUUUAGCAGUAUAAUUUUUAUAAGGGAAAACACAGAGUUCAAUUAUCAACCUUGGUGCUAUAAUAAAUAAAUCUCUUAACCUGAAAUUUUAGGUUGUUACACCUUUACUUUUAAGAAAAGUGUCCCAAUAGGGACUUGUGCAUCCUAAAUUCCCAGUUUUAGAUUUUUUGUUACACCAAGGUAACCCUCCAUGCAACUGUGAACACUAACCUUUGAGAUAACUGAGAUGAACUUACGACGUUAACAUCUCCCAUUAUAAGUUUUUCCACAUGCACGGGCCAGAGAUCGAACUCCUAACCAAAUGAUACAACGUAGAUUAUGGAGAUUUGAUUUGUACUUGUGAUGAUGGUCUAUUAGCCUAGUCUUGUAUCUAAAUAUUUGACUAGCCUAGCCUUAUAUAAGAAAUUAGGAUGAUUAUCUUCAUAUUUGAUUUGACCCUUUCCUUAUUUUUAGCGUAGCCUUGUAUCUAAAUAUUUCAAUAUUCUUUGUGAAUGAAGAAUGAAUUAAUUAGAAAUACAAUUUCCCUAAUACUACCUCUGAUCCUCAUUUGGUAUCAAAGUUUAUGCUCAAUAGGUCUGGUAAAAAGUCAUAAAACCCUAAUUCUCUUGUCAGUUGCCUACAAUUGGUGACCCUAUUUCUUGCACGCUGUUUGAGCCAACAACUUUAUCGAAGUGUGAGAUUCGCACGCCACCUCCCUAAGCUCAGGUGAUGUUAUUGCAGGUCCCAUUUUAUUUGUCUGCCAUUCCCUGUUUUGACCUAGUUAAGUAAGUGGGAACCCUUAUCUCCAGUGCAUCACCUCUAUUUGCCAAUAUCUUAUCGUUACAAUUCUAGUUUCUACAUCUCUCUGUUAUCUGUGUGCUGUCUAAGAUGAGUCAAAACCAAAAUCAUCACAUAGGGAGCUCAGUAAAUUAGGAACCUUUUUUAAGAGCCUUUUGUCCUUUGUUUUCUCAGGAAAAAUCCCUCUAUAAUGUCAAAGAAACUAAAUGGCGAAAGUUAUUUAAAGUGAUUGAUUGUUGUCAAACAUAUAUUUUUUGGUCAAAGACUCAGAUCAUUUCACCAUAGAAGUCUUCAGAAAUUGAUAAAGAGUUGUGUGAUGAUUGGGAGCAAGUAGGCUAUCAAUUAGUCUAUCUUAUGUGGGAAUCCGUUGAACCUUCCUUGUUGGUUCACUUUCACUCAUAUUCAAUUGUUAUGUUUUUUGGUAGAAGGCUAAGAUUAUCUAUUCAAAUGAUAUCAACUGCUUUAUGAUGUUUUUCAUUAUAUAGCCACUCUAAAGGUGACAAAGGAUAGUAUCAUAUCUUAUGCUAAUAGAGCUCAGUUAGCUAUUAACAAGUUUUUUCUUCUUGUGGCUGAUAAGGACUCAGAAGAUGAUUGAGAAACUUGAUAGUGUCUGCACGAUCUAUGAGAAUUGUCAAAAUAUGUUUCUAUUUAAUAUCCUUCAAGUAUAGGGAUUUAGUUGAAUAGGAGUAAUAGUAGGGAUUUAGUUGAAUAAGAGUAAUAGUAGGGAUUUAGUUGAAUAGGAGUAAUAGUAGGGAUUCAGUUAUAUAGGAGUACUAGUAGGGAUUUAGUUAUAUAUGAGUAAUUAUAGGGUUUGGUUGUUUAGUAAUCUAGUAUAAAUAUAUCUGAUGUAUUACCAAUAUUUUUCAAGUUUCAAUAAAUAUAAUUUUAUUCUAAUUCUUGACAUGGUAUCAGAGCAUGUUCUGAUUUUGUGAUUUGUCUUUGUGCUUCACUACCGCUGCCGGCGGCAGCAAAUGCCGCCGGCAGCACCACUUUUUUCAGUGUUUCAAUUUUUUGGCUUCAUACAGUCAUUUGUCACCAUCAACUCCGGCUGCCUUUCUAGCAACCAGCCACGACGCUACAGCUUCCCUCAAAAGCACCGCUUUCCCUGUGUGUUUUUUUUUUACUUUAAAUUCUAUGCAGGUAUUGGAAGGACUUCUUAAAUUACCAGAGAAUAGGGAGUGUGCUGACUGCAAAGCUAAGUAUGUAUCUGGCUUAAACUUAAUGACACCAUUGCUAUUUUUCAUUCUCAUGACAGUAGGAAACCAAGAAAAGAGACACUAUUCCGUUUGAGGAUAUUGGAUUAUCUUUGUAUUAAACAUUUUCAAGAUUAUUUUCUAAUUUUAUUUCUUGUUUUUCUACGAAAAAUUUGAUUUGCAGAGGCCCAAGAUGGGCUAGUGUCAAUCUUGGCAUCUUUAUUUGCAUGCAGUGUUCAGGAAUACAUCGAAGUCUUGGGGUACACAUUUCAAAGGUAAUAAUGUUAUGUUCCUUUGUAUGGUAAGUGGUUGAGAUCUAUGAGAAAGCAAGUCAUGAGGGAGAGUUUGUGUGUUAUGGUUGUCUCAUAUGGAAAUAUAAUCUCUCUGAAUUCAAUUACAUUAAGUAUGUUGUUUGCAUUAUGGCUAUGUUGCUCCAAUUGUAUAGCAGAAUAUUAAUUUAAGAGUCUAUACUAAAUGUUUUGUUUUGAGAUUUGAGUUACUGUGUUGUUUUUAUGCUCGUGUAACUCACUUGUUAGCUAAAUGCUGACAUAUGGUUUCCAAAUGAGCAACAUUAAUGAAUAUGCAUUCCUUAACUGGUAGUUUGCCUCAUGCUUUUUUUGUUACAAGCAUGUAGCACUGCUGUGGGGAAUCUGUUUGUCAAUAUAUGGUUAGACAGUUAUUUCUUUUUUAAUGUGGAUUUAACGAUUGCUAGGGUGUUAAUCUACUUGGUUCAAGAAAACUUUCAUUAUAAUUUUUUUCCUUUUCAAUUUAAAAUCAAUUACUAAUUCGACGUGGAACUACUGAAAAAUACUCCUAGGUCCUUUCUUUUUGAAUUUUUGUUAUAAUAGUUUCAGUAUUUAUACUUCUAUUUUAACUAAAGGCUGCUCUAAAUUUCAACUUGUUGCUAGUAUAAUGUUUUUAUUAUAUGCUUACUUAAUAGUUUUUCUGCAGGUUCGCUCUGCUACUUUGGACACCUGGCUUCCAGAUCAGGUUGCAUUCAUUCAAUGUAAGGGAAUCUUAAUGUCCAUGACCUUCUGGUAAUUGAGUUUUGCUAGUUUAUAUACUCUUCUCACUGUAUUUGAAUUUCUGUGCUUUGUUUUAAAAAGCUAUGGGAAAUGAGAAAGCAAAUAGUUACUGGGAAGCAGAAUUACCCCCAAAUUAUGACAGAGUUGGCAUUGAAAAUUUCAUUCGUGCAAAGUAUGUUUGUUGAUACUUUGAAUCAGACUGAUUUUUUAUUAUUUUUAUAAAUUUAAUUUAAUCUUUGUACAAUUUGAAGUAUAUAUAUUUCUUGUUAGGUGCUCCUGGCGAUGCUGAUUUUUUUUCUUUCAUUCACUGCAUAUAUUUAAAGGUAUGAAGAUAAGAGAUGGGUUGCAAAGGACAGUAAGCCCAGAUCACCUUCUAGACUGCUAGAAGAGAAAACUGCUUCACAAUGGCAAAAGCCUGUGGAAAGAGCUGGGCAUAAUUAUGUUGCUGAGAAUACUUUUAACGAAAGGAAGAAAUACCAACCAUCAAAUGCAAUUCCUGCUAUUAGAAUUAGUGUUCCUGCUCCUCCUAAAGGACCUGAGCAGGUCUCUCUAUCCCUAUAUCUCUG